AUGGCUAAGGAGACCCACACACCAGUGAAGCCCAAAGAAAAUACGAAACAACCAAUUGUAAGCACGAAAAAGCCAACCCCAAGAACCAAAGAGAAGAAGGAAAAGAAGAACUCUUGUCAACAAAAGACCAACAAAACUGGCAAGGUGGAGAAGAAAAUCACAAAGGUAAAAAAACCCCUUCAAAGGAAUUCAAGAAAGAAAACUCAAUCACCUCCUUCCUGCUCCAAAAAGCCUAGGAUAACAAUGAGACCAACAAUAUUUGCGUGUCACCACAAGCAGAAUAAGACGCAAACUAAAACUCAGAAGAGCAAGCACAAAAUACAACGGAAAAUAAAAAUCACAAGAGCAAGCCCAGAAGCCAUUGGCAACAGCAAACCAUCCCAAGUAACCAUCUCUGCUGCCAGUAAAUGCAGAGCCUGGAUCAGAAAUGUACAACUAGCAACAGCAUCUCCAUAGGCAACUCUGGGGAAUCACCAAUCACAUAAAGGCCGAAUCUGAGACCAAUAGUGUUCCACCAUGUUGAUGAACGCAAUAAAAUCAGCACAAUGUGAAAAGAUGAUGUGGACUUUGUCUGUAGUGGGGAGGGGGUUAAGGAAGAAAAACUGGUAAGAGGGAGAGAGGCAGGCUCCUGCAUGGUUGGGGGCCAGACCAACAGGUAUACAGUUAGCCAUCGGGGGGGAUAAGGAGUGGGUGAGGACUAAGAAAUGAAGACUAAUGAACACUUUGCCCCCACAGACAAGAAGAAAAAGGGUUUUGGUGUUUCUACAUGUAUUUAGGGUAGGUGUGGGCAACAACAUCAAGGUCUGAAUUCCCAGAACCCAGUUAGGAAGAGGGUUUCAUGUGUGAUGUGUGUGGCAAUAACACACUGCACAAAAAGACACUAAAACCACCUCCAGUUCACCCGCGUCACAGUGGUGUCUGUUGUACCCCACACUAUGCUGUAAGCAAGUAAAGGCCCUCAGGAGGACCCAGAACUCAUCCUGUCAAGAGUCACUCCAGCAGCCUGAAAGACAAAUAGUGGAGUCUGGAGGCCACAAACCCAGCGCUAAUUAGGCCACUUUCUUGUUAAGUAGCUUAGGAUGGAGCAGUGGCCUACCAAGCGUGGGGGCAGUGGCAGAGGUCUGCCCACUUGCUGGCCAUAAAGAGAAACAUUGUCUGCGGAGAAUUUUUUUUUUUAAUUUUUUUUUUUUUUGAGAUGGAGUCUCGCUCUAUUGCCCAGGCUGGAGUGCAGUGGCUGGAUCUCAGCUCACUGCAAGCUCUGCCUCCCAGGUUUUACGCCAUUCUCCUGCCUCAGCCUCCCGAGUAGCUGGGACUACAGGUGCCCGCCACCACACCCGGCUAGUUUUUUUGUAUUUUUUUUAGUAGAGACGGGGUUUCACCAUGUUAGCCAGGAUAGUCUCGAUCUCCUGACCUCGUGAUCCGCCCGUCUCGGCCUCCCAAAGUGCUGGGAUUACAGGCUUGAGCCACCGCACCCUGCCGAGAAUUUUAAUAUAAGAAUAAUAAAACCCAGUAAAAGUCAGUCUUUUACUUAUUAGCAUCACAUACAAGUUUUCAACUUUUCUCCCCCCACAUCCUCUUUUGGUCUGAGCUGUAAAAGAUUGCUGUGGUUACAUUUAAGCUUGAAGAAAAUCUAUGUAAGGUGCGAAUUCGCUGAUUUUUAAUAUUUCUGUUUUAAUAAUCAUUUGAUUCUACAGGGAAGUUAAUUUGGAUAAAUCCUCAUUAAAUAGUUGGUCCAAGACAUAGGCUGUUCCCUUCUAAAGUAAGCUCUGAAUAAUUUGGAAAUGUUUUGAUGCGGGACAGGGAAGCCCCACACUUGGGGCUUAGGUGGGAGGUUCUUGGCUUCACUCAGGAAAGAAUUCAAGGGCAAGCUGGUGACGUUAAACAGCAAGUUUAAUUGAAGCAGAAGUGUGCGGAGCAGCAGAGGAACUGUUCCUGCUUCUUGCAGAGCAGGGCUGCCCCAUGGGCGGUGUCCCCAGAACAGCAGCUCAGAGGCAGUUCUGCACUCAUGCUGAUUCCCACUUUCAAUUAUAUUCACAUUAAGGAGCAAUUUAUGCAGCAAUUUCUAGGAUGAGGGUGG
RNAcentral lists this long non-coding RNA (2077 nucleotides) under Macaca mulatta (Rhesus monkey). Its description in RNAcentral is "lncRNA (ENSMMUG00000065214.1)". Lineage: Eukaryota; Metazoa; Chordata; Mammalia; Primates; Cercopithecidae. The record is from RNAcentral.